GAUGAAAUUUCUGUUUGGGGUUUGGUGGUCCUUUUCAAGGAUAUACUCUUCGGGGUGUACCUUGUUCUUUACUUUGAGAAAAUUAGAGUGCUCAAAGCAGGCGUAACCCGCCUUGAAUAAUUUAGCAUGGGAUAAUAAAAGAGGGCAUUUGCUCUAUUUUGUUGGUUUCUAGAGCUUAUGCAAUGAUUAAUAGGGACAGUUGGGGCCGUCUGUAUUCGUAAGCUAGAGGUGAAAUUCUAGGAUUGACUCAAGACGAACUAAUGCGAAAGCAUUCGACAAGGAUGUUUUCAUUAAUCAAGAACGAAAGUUGGGGGAUCGAAGAUGAUCAGAUACCGUCGUAGUCUCAACCAUAAACUAUGUGGACCAAAGAUCCGAGGAAGUUGAAUUUUUUGAAAGAAAAAUAGGAUGACUCUCCGGGCAUUUUGUGAGAAAUCAUAAAGUAUUUGCAUUCCGGGGGGAGUAUGGUCGCAAGGCUGAAACUUAAAGGAAUUGACGGAAGGGCACCACCAGGAGUGGAACCUGCGGCUUAAUUUGACUCAACACGGGGAAACUUACCGGGUCCGGACACACGUUGGAUUGACAGAUUGAAAGCUCUUUCUUGAUUGUGUGGGUGGUGGUGCAUGGCCGUUUUUAGUUGGUGGAGUGAUUUGUCUGGUUUAUUCCGAUAACGAACGAGACCUUGACCUAUUAAUUAGUGGGGGGUGGGAGGGGAGUGGGAAACUGCUUCCCUACAACCAUCUUUU
Molecule: ribosomal RNA, 743 nt
Filed under: uncultured eukaryote
Lineage: Eukaryota
Description: bacterial SSU rRNA
Rfam family: Eukaryotic small subunit ribosomal RNA
Source: RNAcentral